GAACCUUUUUCCUUUCUUUAUUUCACCCGAUCUCCCUUUCUCUCUCUAUAUAUAUAUAUUCUUAAUUUUUAUUUAUUUGCACCAUAAUAAUAAUAAAGCCCUGUCUCGUUUUAAGUAUUGUAACCCCCAAUCACCGCUACUCUUUCCGAUUGAUCUGAGUCCCAUAACGCAUGUCAAGGCUCUGCCUGACUAAGUUCGUUUGGAUUCUAUCUCGGGACUUCGGGACAAGGUUGAAUUAGGGGUACUAUGCUUAACACGAGUGCAUUAUAUUUUUAAUAGCUUAAAAGUUAUACCUAAAAUUUAUGCCAGGAAUCCUUCUAGUUGAACCCUAAAGUUACACAGUGGGUCCAUUCUCUUUUCUCACUAUUUUAUUCUCUUUUUGUAAGUUACCCAAAACUAUUAUUUAUUACUUAUUAUUUCUAUUUUGUAAACAAACUUUCAUCAAAAGUCAUGCCUAUUAUUUUAUUUACCCAAUAGGGAACCAUAGUUGAGACACCCAAGUAAACCUGCACAAAUCCUAAAAUUUCCGGAACAAUCGGAAUCAGGAUCAGGGCCCCUAAAACUCAGGGGGGUAUUUCCUACUUAACAAUUAUCCUUAUAUCUCGCUGUCUAAAUUGAAAAUUAUCGUUCCAUCGACUCAGCAGGCCUAAGUAGGUGACGAAGCAGGCCUAGCCUACUUUGGAUUCCCCCGCGACACGCGACAGAUCCCGGGGAUCCUGUCGCGACACGCGGGCGGUUCCAAAUCAGGCUAUAAAUAGAGGGCAGUGGGACUUGCAAUUGUGCGUUCGUUCGACAAUCAAAUUCAAAUUAUACUCCGAGUUAUAGUAGAAACAGUCUCCAAAUCACUAAUCAGGAUAGCGGGGUGCUGCUACGAUGCCGGGUAAUAACUCGAUCGCUAUUACGAUUCAUUUUCCGGGAUCAAUAUAUCCAAAGAAUGUCUAAGUGCCGCCCACAUUGGGUUAUGCUUUGUCAUUUGUCGAUAAUUCGAUAAAUGAGUUGAAGCAUUAUACUUUGUCGUUUGUCGUUAAUACGAUAAAUGAGUUGAAGUAUUGCACUUGGUCAUUCAUUGGGAGAAUUUGAUCUCGUAAAUUAUCGUAACUGCUGUAUUGAUCAUUAACCCGGUUUUCUGUGCAUCAUUUCCUAAAUUAGGAUUAUUAGUCUCAAUACACUUACAAUCAAAGUAGAUGCUAAUUCUCAGAAGAAUCUGAACCAUAAAGCUUGUUAAUUCAAAUACUGCAUGCUUAUAUUGUGAGUCAUUCUCUUUUUAUUAACUAUUUUACAAUACUCCAAAUCAUUUUUCAAAGUUAUAAUUACAAUGAUUAAGUUUAUGUAAUCACCAAAUUACAGCCGGUAUGUGGGGUAUUGUGCACAAUAUUACUAUUGUUUUAAUCACAUUAGGUGGGCGAGCCUAAAAGUAAGUGAUAUACGUCACUCAUUGGGACAGCCAAUGGUGAUAUGACCACAGUCACAGAGCUGGUCUGUGACAAAUACCUAUUCUUGAAUGUUGGUAAUUACAAUAGAUUGGAGUAAGGAUUGGAUCCGACACUGAAAGACUUCAAGAAGUGGCUUAUUUUCAAAUUAAGAAAUAUUGUUUUUAUUAAAAGCUACCUUUGUAAAACAUGGAAUUUAUUCCAUCUAUUUAAAUAAAAUCCGGUGU
This 1657-nucleotide long non-coding RNA is filed under the name Helianthus annuus (common sunflower). RNAcentral describes it as "hypothetical non coding rna". Lineage: Eukaryota; Viridiplantae; Streptophyta; Magnoliopsida; Asterales; Asteraceae. The record is from RNAcentral.